RNAcentral lists this ribosomal RNA (408 nucleotides) under uncultured bacterium. RNAcentral's name for it is "bacterial SSU rRNA". It matches the Rfam family "Bacterial small subunit ribosomal RNA", at positions 354 to 775 of the family's 1533-position model. The record is from RNAcentral.
AUUAGGAAUCUUGCACAAUGGGGGCAACCCUGAUGCAGCGACGCCGCGUGGAGGAGGAAGUCCUUCGGGAUGUAAACUCCUUUUGUCUGGGAAGAAACAAAUGACGGUACCAGACGAAUAAGCCCCGGCUAACUACGUGCCAGCAGCCGCGGUAAUACGUAGGGGGCGAGCGUUGUCCGAAGUUACUGGGCGUAAAGCGCGCGUAGGCGGGCUAUUAAGUGAGAAGUGAAAGGCUGGGGCUCAACCCCAUGCAGUGCUUCUCAUACUGUUAGUCUUGAGGGCGGUAGAGAGAAGUGGAAUGGCUGGUGUAGCGGUGAAAUGCGUAGAUAUCAGUCGGAACACCCGUGGCGAAGGCGGCUUCUUGGGCCGUUUCUGACGCUGAGGCGCGAAAGCUGGGGGAGCGAACGG